This 2526-nucleotide unclassified non-coding RNA is filed under the name Pocillopora damicornis (cauliflower coral). Its description in RNAcentral is "rho-associated protein kinase 2-like, transcript variant X2". The record is from RNAcentral. Lineage: Eukaryota; Metazoa; Cnidaria; Anthozoa; Scleractinia; Pocilloporidae.
GGAGCCAAAUUUACUAUCCUUUUCGAAAUGGCCACAGAAGUGGAUUGCGACGCUAUGAAAGCCGAAAACAUCCGUCUACGACACACGUUGUUCGUGAUGGUCACAGAUAGACAGAAAAUGGCGUCCAAAUUAACGGGCGUUCAGAACCUUGGACAACAACUGCAGAAGAAAGAAAUAGAGAAUAGUAAUCUUAGAGAAAAAAUUGAACGGAUAGAAGGUUCUCUGGCGAGAGCAGAGAACAGAAUAACUCAGUUAAGUCUUCAAGCGGGCAACGGCCAACAUUUGAGCGGCCAAACCGCCAUUGUUACGCCAGGAGUUUCAAAGAAGGUUUUAGAAGCAUUAACUCGCGAUAAUACAAGACUAAAACAAGCUCUGGACCACUUAACCAACAGAGGACCAGCCGGGGUUGACUUGGCAGUGGAGAAUAAGGAACUACAUGAAAUAAUCAUGAACCUUAGAGAUGAAAAGAACAUGAAAAGCAAUGAAGUAAAAGAAUUAAAAGCAGCUCUAAGUGCUGCCCAUGAAGGCAACAUUGAAUUAAUGAAAGGCCAAGUGCUGCGCCUCACUGCAUUGGUCACAAAGCUUGAGAGAAACCUCAAUGCCAAACAAGUGUUUUGUGAAACUGUGGUGACAGAGAAUGAUUCAUUGAAGAAUGAAUUACAGUCUCUUAGGGAUGAUAGGGUAACUAGAGUGAGAGAUCUAAAGAGAGGACUGGGCCAACUGUCAACACAGCCAGACGUCCGUAGAAUUUUGAACCAGGUGUAUGAUACUCCAGAUGGAGACCCAGAGGAAUAUGCUUCUUCAGAAGAGCAUACCACGCUCAAAGAGGAGGUUUCAAAAUUAACCAGGGAAUUAGAGGCUAAGGCUGCUGAAAGGGAAGAAUUUAUUGUAGAAUUGAACAGAAGGAAGGAAGAACAGACCCAAUCAAACAAUCUCCACACUGCUCAGCUUAAAUCUUUUGAAGAAGGGCAAGCACAGAUGUUACGACAGCUACAUGCAUUGAGUGAUGAACUUACAGAAGUGAAGAGAGAUCGUGCAGAAAAAGAUAUACAACUUAAAGAUAAUGAGAUGGAACAAGAACUCAUGCGAAAUGCACUUGAAGGCUAUGAAAAUGAUUUUAAGAUGGAAAGACAAGAGAAGGUCAAGGCCUUGUCAGAUCGUGAGCAGGUGUCACGUGAAAGGGAUCAAUUCAAGCAACGUUUCGAACAACUAAAGCAGGAACACAUUGGCUUGAGACAAAACAUUGAGCGAAUGUACUCAGAAGCUCAGAGACAGCAUGCCCAAGGUCAAAACAGACUUCCAACUCCAAGCCGCACAUGUGCAGCUCAAGUUCAGGAACCAUGGCAACAAGUACAUCAAAGUCCAAUGAGAGCUAGAGCUUUUGGAAUGGAAGUGAAGGCUGAUGGACAUGGGCCGGAUGUGACAGACUGCCCAACUUCUCCGCCGAAGGAUGCAAUGCGACGUUUUACCAGCCAAGGAAGUCAGUUGCAGUGUCCCAACUGUAGAAAACUUUUCCCUCAUGAUCUGCUUGAAAAUCACAUGAGAGACUGUACAGGAGAUGAUUAGCAAUGAGUUUAGCUUACACAAGGAAGAUGAGUGUACGAUCUGAAAUGUCUUUGACAGGAAUGGAAUGCUAGCAAGAUUAAAGAAACUGCUAUGAGCAUGUGGCUGACCUACUGGAUGUCUGAAACCACACACUGACUGUUGUGGAUUUGGCGAGAUAGUUGUUAUCAUUUUGCUCGUGUGAUGUAAUUCAAAUACGAAAAUGGUGCAGCCACACAAGGAAAGGGUGAAGAGAGAGACUGGUGUCCUGUGGUACCCGAUGCUUACUGAGGGGAUACAAAACAAUGCCAAGUGUAAGGGAACAAUGCUAUGAAAGUCAAGUUAUGAAAGGGUUUGCUGUUUGAUGCUAGCAUUAUUGCUAUUGCUAGCAAAUAGCUCCCCUUGUUUUCAAGCCAGAUUGAAGAGAGGAAGACACUUUUGGCUUGAAGGAGUUCUGUGAGGCGCAGUUCUUUGUUCAAUGAUAGGAAGUGUGGAAGCAAUUUUUGCAUCUGAUUCACAAUGCAUGGAGUUAUGAUAUCUGCACAAAUGCUUUUGAUCAGUAGAAGAUGCAAAAUGUUUGGAGAAGAAAUGUUCAAAGGGCACUAUUCCACAUCUCCGGCGGGGAAAAAUGAAAAGCUUCUGCAGCGAAAAAGUAACGGAAGAUCGAUCCAGAUUUUAGGAAAAUUUGAGACGUCUUGGCAUUGGGUCACAAACAAGAUCUGAGAGAUGUUGAUGACUUAGCUGUAUACGAAACCCAGCAAAGUAAGUUUAUUGUGCGAAAAGACAUGUGAAUAGCAGCUGUAAUAAUGAGAUGAAAGGCCAUGAGAGGAUAUCAAUACACAGUGGGCCAUUGGCUGGAUUUGGAUGGUCCGGAAAUGCCACAACUACAUGGACUCUUUACAUAAGCACUAGUUCUAAUCGUGAGUUCAAAAGUUAACUCAGAGUGAUUGCUAAUACUUAGUUUUGAAUAAAGACCAACCCGAA